UCUGGUAGAUAUAGCGCGGUAGUACCACCUGAUACCAUACCGAACUCAGAAGUGAAAUGCCGUAGCGCCAAUGGUAGUAUGGAUUUUUCCAUGUGAGAGUAGGAAACUACCAGAC
This is a ribosomal RNA of Baumannia cicadellinicola str. Hc (Homalodisca coagulata), 115 nucleotides long. NCBI's taxonomy places the organism in Bacteria, Pseudomonadati, Pseudomonadota, Gammaproteobacteria. The record is from Rfam.